Molecule: unclassified non-coding RNA, 147 nt
Filed under: uncultured fungus
Lineage: Eukaryota; Fungi
Description: sequence contains ITS1
Source: RNAcentral
CGACCAUCGGGGCGAAGAAAUACGAGAUGUGCUCGGGGCGUAGCACCUCGUCGAGCGGAUGAUGCGUCCAGGCAUCGAAGGAAUUGCCGUGCAUCAGCUCAUCGCCAACGCGGCAGAAAUCGGCGCGCCGCAGGCUGCGGGUAUCGG